Molecule: unclassified non-coding RNA, 581 nt
Filed under: Hevea brasiliensis (rubber tree)
Lineage: Eukaryota; Viridiplantae; Streptophyta; Magnoliopsida; Malpighiales; Euphorbiaceae
Source: RNAcentral
ACCUCUUGAUUAUCAGGACUGAUAAACGUCAGGAAGCUGAAGACCUACACUUGCAGCUGAUUUUCCUAGUAUUCUUUUCAUUUCAUCUGAUCUAUCCACAGCAAUGUUGUAAGAAAAUAACAACUCCUGCAAAAUCAUUAAUGCGAUUUCAAAAUGAAGUAUAACAAUAAGAUAAUUUUCAACCUAAAUUAUAAAAUUAGAGGAACAAGUAAAACUAUUAUGUGUUUGCUAGUAGGAAAAUCUAUGAAAGCCACAUAACAGGGGGAAAAAACUACAUCACAUACCAAAACCAAUUACCAACAGUUGGUGUUUCUCAGUCUCUUGAUUAUUUUGAGGACAUGGAGAUGGAAAUUUUUAAUAUCAUCAAUCUUAUGACAGAAAGAAUUAACAUUACAUUACUCCCAUAUAGUGUGACGAAGAUCUCAUUGGCCAGCCAGAUAAAAAAGAAGACAACUACCAAUUCAAUGCCACUUAAAACCAUGCAAUGUAAUAUAUUUGACCAUAUCAAAAUUCUCUUUCACAUAAAACCAGAGAACAAAACAAUAUAAGAACUCUAGAGCAAUGAAAGAGAGCAUUACCUU